AGACUGGAUUCCUUAGAAUCCAACUAUUGAUAUUUACAAGAGAUAU
Molecule: non-coding RNA, 46 nt
Organism: Otolemur garnettii (small-eared galago)
Lineage: Eukaryota; Metazoa; Chordata; Mammalia; Primates; Galagidae
Source: Rfam